Molecule: ribosomal RNA, 501 nt
Filed under: uncultured bacterium
Lineage: Bacteria
Description: partial 16S ribosomal RNA
Rfam family: Bacterial small subunit ribosomal RNA
Source: RNAcentral
AUUGAACGCUGGCGGCAUGCCUUACACAUGCAAGUCGAACGGCAGCACGGGUGCUUGCACCUGGUGGCGAGUGGCGAACGGGUGAGUAAUAUAUCGGAACGUACCUUAUUGUGGGGGAUAACGCAGCGAAAGCUGUGCUAAUACCGCAUAAUCCCUAAGGGGGAAAGCGGGGGACCGUAAGGCCUCGCGCAAUGUGAGCGGCCGAUACCUGAUUAGCUAGUUGGUGAGGUAAAGGCUCACCAAGGCAACGAUCAGUAGCUGGUCUGAGAGGACGAUCAGCCACACUGGGACUGAGACACGGCCCAGACUCCUACGGGAGGCAGCAGUGGGGAAUUUUGGACAAUGGGGGCAACCCUGAUCCAGCAAUGCCGCGUGAGUGAAGAAGGCCUUCGGGUUGUAAAGCUCUUUUGUCAGGGAAGAAACAGCAGCUCUAACACAGUAUGCGAAUGACGGUACCUGAAGAAUAAGCACCGGCUAACUACGUGCCAGCCGCCGCCGUAA